This 522-nucleotide ribosomal RNA is filed under the name uncultured delta proteobacterium. Its description in RNAcentral is "bacterial SSU rRNA". It matches the Rfam family "Bacterial small subunit ribosomal RNA", at positions 97 to 596 of the family's 1533-position model. Lineage: Bacteria; Deltaproteobacteria. The record is from RNAcentral.
GGCGAACGGGUGAGUAACGCGUGGGUAACCUGCCCCUGAACCUGGAAUAACUUCGCGAAAGCGAGGCUAAUACCGGAUAUUGUCCCAGGGACCUUGGUCCUUGUGAUGAAAGAUGACCUCUUCACGAAAGUUGUCGUUCAGAGAGGGGCCCGCGUACCAUUAGCUAGUUGGUAGGGUAAUGGCCUACCAAGGCGAGGAUGGUUAGCUGGUCUGAGAGGAUGACCAGCCACACUGGCACUGAAACACGGGCCAGACUCCUACGGGAGGCAGCAGUGAGGAAUUUUGCGCAAUAGGGGAAACCCUGACGCAGCAACGCCGCGUGAGUGAAGAAGGCCCUCGGGUCGUAAAGCUCUGUCAAGUGGGAAAAAAGCUUGCUGGUAAAUAGCCAGUAAGACUGAUGGUACCAUUGAAGGAAGCACCGGCUAACUCCGUGCCAGCAGCCGCGGUAAUACGGAGGGUGCAAGCGUUGUUCGGAAUUACUGGGCGUAAAGGGCGUGUAGGCGGUGUGGUAUGUCAGAUGUG